UUACCUGCCCUGGAGUGGUGGAUAACCUGCCGAAAGGUGGGCUAAUACAGCAUGAGACCACGAGGUUUCGAUCUCGCGGUCAAAGCAGGCCUCUUUUUAAAAGCUUGCGCUCCGGGAUGGGUCCGCGGCCCAUCAGCUAGUUGGUAGGGUAAAAGCCUACCAAGGCAGAGAUCGGUAGCCGGCCUGAGAGGGCACACGGCCACACUGGCACUGAAACACGGGCCAG
RNAcentral lists this ribosomal RNA (226 nucleotides) under uncultured bacterium. RNAcentral's name for it is "partial 16S ribosomal RNA". It matches the Rfam family "Bacterial small subunit ribosomal RNA", at positions 122 to 334 of the family's 1533-position model. The record is from RNAcentral.